UAAAAAUCAUCAUCCUGUGUUGACGGGCAUCAUUCUUGAUUGAUCUAACUAAGACGAAAGUUUAGUCUGAAGCGCUGUUCAUCAUGUGGUCACAACUCACCUUUCGUCUUUUGCUAAUAGUAGCCCUAACGUCUGUUACAUCAGCCUUCUUUAUUCGUCGUCCAUUUAUUCCACAUAUGUUUCCAUUCGCACGAUUUCCAAUUGUUCGUCCUAUAUUGCCACAUGUUGGAUUUCCACCCAUCGGUUAUAACAACAUGUUUAACGUACCAUUCGGUGGAGUUGUUCCAGGUCUUGCGGGCUCCGCCACACCUGACGUAAAUGCACACACCUCUGUAAAACAGGUUCCAGGUGGUGUUUCAAUAACAAAUACCAACCCUAAUUCAUAUGUCAGCGUUGUUACUGAUAUGGCACAUGGCGGGCAGAAUGGCAACGCCGGUUCGGUAACGGGAACCGUAGUGGGUAGCGUUGUAGAUAUGUAUGGUGCGAAAAUAGGAGAUGUUAUAGAUGUAACCGGUAAAGGCUUAAUAGCUCUUAAUGCCAGUGACAGGACAAUACUAGGAAAUAUUGAAAACAAGGGUGUUGAAGGUCUAUGUGUUAUUGACCAGAUGGGUGAAAUUAUUGGCAAAGUUGAGUUACAUCCAGGUUACAAUCAAGUGUAAGGAAUACUUACUGGUACAGUACAAACUACUAAACAGAAACAGGACCAGUGCUUGUUACGUUCCUGAUCUCACUACAAAAAAUACAUGUACAUAUAAAAUGAUAAAUUAUUGUUAAAGGGGGUUUAAUGUGGCUUCAGAAUAACAUUUGGAUUAUAGGCCGUGGACAGACUUCAAAUUCAUAAUGAAUAAGAUCAAUCGAUGAAGAAUGGCCGAUAUACAGUAACUUAAUGUAUGAUGAAACUGUAAUAAAACAUUAUUUUAUAAUAA
This is a long non-coding RNA of Patella vulgata (common limpet), 926 nucleotides long. RefSeq lists it as uncharacterized. Lineage: Eukaryota; Metazoa; Mollusca; Gastropoda; Patellidae. The transcript is spliced from 7 exons. The record is from RefSeq and is a predicted model, not a curated record.